UACGUAGGUGGCAAGCGUUGUCCGGAUUUAUUGGGUUUAAAGGGUGCGUAGGCGGCGUUGUAAGUCAGUGGUGAAAUAUGGCAGCUCAACUGUCAAGGUGCCAUUGAUACUGCAGAGCUUGAGUACAGAUGAGGUAGGCGGAAUUGACGGUGUAGCGGUGAAAUGCUUAGAUAUCGUCAAGAACACCUAUAGCGAAGGCAGCUUACUAGGCUGUAACUGACGCUGAGGCACGAAAGUGUGGGGAUCAAACAGG
This 253-nucleotide ribosomal RNA is filed under the name uncultured bacterium. Its description in RNAcentral is "partial 16S ribosomal RNA". It matches the Rfam family "Bacterial small subunit ribosomal RNA", at positions 524 to 776 of the family's 1533-position model. The record is from RNAcentral.